AUUGAACGCUGGCGGCAGGCCUAACACAUGCAAGUCGAGCGGAUGAAGGGAGCUUGCUCCUGGAUUCAGCGGCGGACGGGUGAGUAAUGCUUAGGAAUCUGCCUGGUAGUGGGGGAUAACGUCCGGAAACGGGCGCUAAUACCGCAUACGUCCUGAGGGAGAAAGUGGGGGAUCUUCGGACCUCACGCUAUCAGAUGAGCCUAGGUCGGAUUAGCUAGUUGGUGGGGUAAAGGCCUACCAAGGCGACGAUCCGUAACUGGUCUGAGAGGAUGAUCAGUCACACUGGAACUGAGACACGGUCCAGACUCCUACGGGAGGCAGCAGUGGGGAAUAUUGGACAAUGGGCGAAAGCCUGAUCCAGCCAUGCCGCGUGUGUGAAGAAGGCCUUCGGAUUGUAAAGCACUUUAAGUUGGGAGGAAGGGCAGUAAGUUAAUACCUUGCUGUUUUGACGUUACCAACAGAAUAAGCACCGGCUAACUUCGUG
Molecule: ribosomal RNA, 484 nt
Filed under: uncultured bacterium
Lineage: Bacteria
Description: partial 16S ribosomal RNA
Rfam family: Bacterial small subunit ribosomal RNA
Source: RNAcentral